RNAcentral lists this ribosomal RNA (512 nucleotides) under uncultured bacterium. RNAcentral describes it as "bacterial SSU rRNA". It matches the Rfam family "Bacterial small subunit ribosomal RNA", at positions 8 to 526 of the family's 1533-position model. The record is from RNAcentral.
AGAGUUUGAUCAUGGCUCAGAACGAACGUUGGCGGCGUGGAUUAGGCAUGCAAGUCGAACGAAUCCCGUGGGGGUAACUCCGCGGGGGAAGUGGCGAAAGGGGCAGUAAGGCGUGGGUAACUUGCCCUGGAGUUCAGCAUAGCCUUCCUAACGGAAGGGUAAUCCUGAAUGCCGUGCUCGGAGGGCCUCCUCUGAACACGAAAGCUCUGGCGCUCCGGGAGAGGCUCACGUGGUAUUAGCUUGUUGGUGGGGUAACGGCCCACCAAGGCCAAGAUGCCUAGCAGGUGUGAGAGCACGACCUGCGUCCCUGGCACUGAGACACUGGCCAGACUCCUACGGGAGGCUGCAGUCGAGGAUCUUCGGCAAUGGGCGCAAGCCUGACCGAGCGACGCCGCGUGGGCGAUGAAGGCCUUCGGGUUGUAAAGCACUGUCGUGGGGAAGAAAGCCCGCAAGGGUUGAUCGACCUCAGGAGGAAGCACGGGCUAAGUUCGUGCCAGCAGCCGCGGUAAUUC